GCUUUUCCAAAUUGCUUUUUUAACAAUAUUUAAAAUGACACUUUAAGCUGCUCUUAAAUCCUUAAUCACAGUGCCAAACAGGCUCUAAAUGCUUUUAAGAAAAGCAACUUGGAAAAAAAUGUUUUAUUAUUUUACUGUUCUUAUAGCUAAAGCAUAUCAAAUUUAAUUUUUGAAUCAAUUAUUAAUACUCUCCAACUAAUAUAUUUGAUAAAGUGUUUUUCUCAAUAGCAACCCUAACAACAAUGCUAAUCAGACCCUAAAUAAUCUAAACCACAAUGCAAGAAACUUCAUAUUUACAAACUCGCAUUUUCGAUCAAGUAAAUUGUGCAUGCUUAAGUUGGGCAUCGCCCACAAACAAAACCACACCACAUGAAAUGAUAAAUUAAACUAUGAGAAGGAAUAGAAUAGAAGUUCUAGCGUGCUAGACACAGCAUAAAUUAAGAUAGAACACAAGUUGCAAGCAAAUUAAAAAACAAGUAAUGCAAGCACAAACCCACACAAUCAACCAUUUUGAUAUAUAAUAGUAAAAAGUGCACAAACCUAAGGGGAUAUGCGAAGAUCCAGAU
This 566-nucleotide unclassified non-coding RNA is filed under the name Hevea brasiliensis (rubber tree). Lineage: Eukaryota; Viridiplantae; Streptophyta; Magnoliopsida; Malpighiales; Euphorbiaceae. The record is from RNAcentral.